RNAcentral lists this unclassified non-coding RNA (1371 nucleotides) under uncultured Neocallimastigales. RNAcentral's name for it is "partial contains internal transcribed spacer 1, 5.8S ribosomal RNA, internal transcribed spacer 2, and large subunit ribosomal RNA". The stretch from base 597 to 1371 matches the Rfam family "Eukaryotic large subunit ribosomal RNA", at positions 1 to 626 of the family's 3401-position model. The record is from RNAcentral. Lineage: Eukaryota; Fungi; Neocallimastigomycota; Neocallimastigomycetes; Neocallimastigales.
AAAAUAAUCCUACCCUUUGUGAAUUUUGUUUGUUUGAAUAAUUUUUUUUUUUUAAAAAAUUAUUGGAGUCUUUCCCUUUAGAGUUUGCUUUUGAGUUUGUAAAAGAAUUCGAAAACAUCUAAAGGGGAUGGUCAAUAAUUUUUUUUGAAAAAAGACAUUUUUUAAAAUUAAACUUUUUGUAUUCAUUUGUCUAAAAAUUAUUUUUAUAAUAUAAAGACAACUUUUGACAAUGGAUCUCUUGGUUCUCGCAACGAUGAAGAACGCAGCAAAAUGCGAUAAGUAGUGUGAAUUGCAGAAUACGUGAAUCAUCGAAUCUUUGAACGCAUAUUGCACUUUUUUAGUUUACUAAAAAAGUAUGUCUGUUUGAGUAUCAGUAAAAUAUUCUCAUAAAAAUCAUUGUGUAUUUUUAUGGUUAUGAGUGUUUUACAACGAUACAAGUUGUUUCACUUUAAAUUUUUUUUUAAUAUUGAAAUUUUUCUAAUUUUAAUAAUUAAAAUUGGAUAAAAUUUUCCCGUCAAAAGGAAUAACCUAAACAAUUUUAAAUGAUUAAUUUUAGCAAAAUUUUCGAAAAAAGGAAAAUUUUUAUUAAAAUAACUUGAUCUCAAAUCAGAUAAGAGUACCCGCUGAACUUAAGCAUAUCAAUAAGCGGAGGAAAAGAAACUGACAAGGAUUCCCUUAGUAACGGCGAGUGAAGCGGGAAGAGCUCAAAUUUGAAAUCUUCAAGGUUUUACCUUGACGAAUUGUAGUUUAAAGAAGUGUUUUCUGCUGAAGUUUUGGUAAAAGUUCUUUGGAAUAGGACAUCAUAGAGGGUGAGAAUCCCGUAUUUGACCAUUAUUUUCAGCUUUGCGAUACACUUUCAAAGAGUCGGAUUGUUUGGGAAUGCAGUCCAAAAUGGGUGGUAAAUUUCAUCUAAAGCUAAAUAUUGGCGAGAGACCGAUAGCGAACAAGUACCGUGAGGGAAAGAUGAAAAGAACUUUGAAAAGAGAGUUAAACAGUACGUGAAAUUGUCAAAAGGGAAGCGUUUGACACCAGUGUUGUUUUCUCGAAAAUCAAUUAAAAAUGGCUCGAUUUUGUAUUGCUGAGACCUUAAAAGCUCACUGUACAUUUUUCGUGUCUUUUUUAAUGCACUUUUCGUUUAAUAAGUCAACAUCAGUUUCUUUUGUUGUAAAAGGGUCAUUGGAAGGUGGCUUUCUUUUCGGAGAAAGUGUUUAUAGCCUUUGGCCUCUGCAAUCGAAGAGACUGAGGUCUGCAGCGUAGACUCUUCGGGGUUAGAUACAUUUGUGCUAAGUUAUAGCUUUUUAUAGACAACUUGUUGACUAUAAUUAGUCUUGUAGCUUACUCGCUUAUGCUAUUUUACCUACGCUUAGGAUG